UUACUCUCCAGCCGCAGUGUCGAAGGGUAGGGGAAUGUACAGGUCAGCGGUGUUCGUUCCAAUGUGUGGCCAAUUUACGUUCCAGGGAUUUGAUGGCACACACCGCUGACCGCGUUCGACUGGAUUAAAAUGGCCGCCGCCACUUGUUCGAUUGUCUAAUGGCGGCCACUUCGGCUGUAUCCGAAGGGCCAUAUCAAACGUAUCAAUCCUUUGUACAAAACAGUUAAAGGGCCAGACAUAGUCUUUGUUCUUUAGGUACAGACAAUGUGGAUGAUGGCAAAAACAAACAGAAGGUAGAG
This is a non-coding RNA of Pelobates cultripes (western spadefoot toad), 299 nucleotides long. NCBI's taxonomy places the organism in Eukaryota, Metazoa, Chordata, Amphibia, Anura, Pelobatidae. The record is from the annotation of a GenBank genome assembly.